Long non-coding RNA from Juglans microcarpa x Juglans regia, 506 nucleotides. RefSeq lists it as uncharacterized. The transcript is spliced from 4 exons. Lineage: Eukaryota; Viridiplantae; Streptophyta; Magnoliopsida; Fagales; Juglandaceae. The record is from RefSeq and is a predicted model, not a curated record.
AAAGCAAGAAGUAUGGGCGUUAUAUUUCCAGGAAAGAGGAUUCCAAGCUGGUUCAGCUAUCGCAAGGAGGCCCAUGAUAGUAAUAUGUGUGAAAUAGAUAUUAAUCCAUCGCAUCAUUGGAAUGACAUAGAUGAAAUUGUUUUCUAUGUUGUUUUUGGAUUUAGAGUUGGGAUCACUAACCCAGAAACGGAGGAGGCUCUUCAUAUAUAUGUUAGAACCCAUGAUAGAUUGGAUUGGAAAAACUUAUGCAGUAAUCGACGUAUCGCAUUUUCUUGGACGGACUCAGACCAUGUAUGGAUGCACUGGAUGAGUUACGGUGAACAAGUGGACGUUUCAAGGUUUAGAUUUGAAUGUGAGUCAAAGCUCGUGGUCUUUAGAAGGGUUGGGAUCCAUUUCCUAAAGAAGCAUGAAGAGAACGUAAGAGAUGAAGUAGGUGUGCUCUACAAAAUUCCUUUAAAAUAUUUUGGUUCCGAAUUUUUUUAUUCCAGUAGUGAUGUAGAAAGUGA